This 425-nucleotide ribosomal RNA is filed under the name uncultured bacterium. RNAcentral describes it as "partial 16S ribosomal RNA". It matches the Rfam family "Bacterial small subunit ribosomal RNA", at positions 354 to 796 of the family's 1533-position model. The record is from RNAcentral.
GUGGGGAAUCUUGCGCAAUGGGCGAAAGCCUGACGCAGCCAUGCCGCGUGGAUGAUGAAGGUCUUAGGAUUGUAAAAUCCUUUCACCGGUGAAGAUAAUGACUGUAGCCGGAGAAGAAGCCCCGGCUAACUUCGUGCCAGCAGCCGCGGUAAUACGAAGGGGGCUAGCGUUGCUCGGAUUUACUGGGCGUAAAGGGCGCGUAGGCGGACAUUUAAGUCAGGGGUGAAAUCCCGGGGCUCAACCUCGGAACUGCCUUUGAUACUGGGUGUCUUGAGUAUGAGAGAGGGGUGUGGAACUCCGAGUGUAGAGGUGAAAUUCGUAGAUAUUCGGAAGAACACCAGUGGCGAAGGCGACACACUGGCUCAUUACUGACGCUGAGGCGCGAAAGCGUGGGGAGCAAACAGGAUUAGAAACCCCUGUAGUCC